This 447-nucleotide long non-coding RNA is filed under the name Piliocolobus tephrosceles (Ugandan red Colobus). RNAcentral's name for it is "lncRNA (ENSPTEG00000007118.1)". Lineage: Eukaryota; Metazoa; Chordata; Mammalia; Primates; Cercopithecidae. The record is from RNAcentral.
CAAGAGUGUGCUGUGGUGAAGGCGAUGUGUAAACUGAUGUUUUUCAUUCGUUUUCUCAUUCAUUCCAUUGUCCCAAGAGCCUGCGGUGUAGGCAGGGUGGCCUCCGGGAGGGCAGUUUCCAGAGAUGAAUUUCCUUCUCCUCCACCACUGCCCAUGGGCUCUGAGGGUGACGGAGAUCCAGUAGGUCACCUCGUCCCUCGUUCCCGGAACACUUGCCAUGUUAUCAGCAUGGCUCCGAAUCCUAUAUCCACCCUCCAGCCACACCCUUGUGACACUUGGAAUCAAAGCCGCCCAGCAUCAGAGCAUGGACGAUCAAGGUGGACUUACCCGCUCAGAAAGAAUGUGGGGCUUCCGUCGAGGGAGACCGCAAUGACCUUCCUUUGAAAAGAAAAAUGUCCUUGCAAGUAGGUAAAUAAAAAAAAAAAAAAAAAAAAGAAAAAGAAAAAG